Molecule: unclassified non-coding RNA, 321 nt
Filed under: uncultured fungus
Lineage: Eukaryota; Fungi
Description: partial contains 5.8S ribosomal RNA and internal transcribed spacer 2
Rfam family: 5.8S ribosomal RNA (bases 1-133)
Source: RNAcentral
UGGUUCUGGCAUCGAUGAAGAACGCAGCGAAAUGCGAUAAGUAAUGUGAAUUGCAGAAUUCAGUGAAUCAUCGAAUCUUUGAACGCACAUUGCGCCCUUUGGUAUUCCGAAGGGCACACCCGUUCGAGCGUCAUUACACCACUCAAGCCUGGCUUGGUAUUGGGCGACGAGGCACCCCUCGCGCUCCAAUUUCACCGGCGGACCGGCCGCGUUGCAAGCGUUGUAGUCUGUUAUGGAUUCGCACGCAGCGUCAGGAAUUUAAGUCUUGCCGUUAAACAUUCCAACAAGGUUGACCUCGGAUCGGGUGGGGAUACCCGCUGA